Neodiprion virginianus is the source of this 793-nucleotide long non-coding RNA. RefSeq lists it as uncharacterized. Lineage: Eukaryota; Metazoa; Arthropoda; Insecta; Hymenoptera; Diprionidae. The record is from RefSeq and is a predicted model, not a curated record. The transcript has 3 exons.
GUGUGCGGGUAUUUAUACGUAUGUAUAUUGUUUGGAGAAAAAUGUGUCAAGCGAAUGCUGAAUUAAUUGGAACCCCGCAGGACAGCCUCUUGUUUCCAACUUCUUCUACCUCUCUGCACGCUCAAGUGAAUGAAUACAAUACCUACAGAUAUAUUCUUUUCCUGCGGCGCAGCUGCCGUGUUCGCCAAACGUUCGCAACUCUUCUUUCAUCUCGCAACAAAAUCUCCGAUGUUCGAGUGUAAAUCACCACAGAGGCGUUUGUCCGUAACAGUACUUCAGCGGGCUGAGAUUUCGCAAUGGCACAGACAGAUCAUUGUGUACCGAAUCCUUCCCUAGUUCGCGCGUAAUCUAUUUCUAAAAUCUGAACUCGAGGAGACGAUAAUACAGGUAUGUAAUCUUGAAUUUACGCGUUUCAGCGAGUACAUUUGUAGUAAAGACAUGCAACGCGUGCAAACUGCAACCGGUAUGCUAUGCAAGGUCUUGAAUUAGGUACGCGAGGUAUAAGAUUCCCGUAUCGAAAGGCUAAUGAUCUUGAGAUUUCUUCGAUCUUGCCUCCUGCGUAGUACGUAUAGCGCAUUCAGCGUGUACGAUGAUGCAGGCAAAAGGAUGUGCCGCUAGAGAUUGGUCAGCUGUUGGCUCUCGCAAGCUCACGUCACUCCUCAAUUUCCGCAUUAAAGUUGCAGAGUAAAACCGGUGUGUAAAAGGAUGUAAAGAGAAGAAAAAAAAAAGAGAGAAAAAAAAAAACGUUGCUACUUUUACGUCGUCCGAAGCGGUACUUUCAAAGCUCUGUAUA